AUUGCUUCUCGGCCUUUUGGCUAAGAUCAAGUGUAGUAUCUGUUCUUAUCAGUUUAAAAUUAAAUUAACCUUGGGCUGAAAUUAGCAUAUAAGGUUUUUUCCAAACUAUUCCCAGAUUUUAAAAUUUGUAAUAGGGCAACUGGGUGGCUCAAUUGGUUAAGUGUCCGACUCUUG
RNAcentral lists this small nuclear RNA (174 nucleotides) under Suricata suricatta (meerkat). RNAcentral's name for it is "U2 spliceosomal RNA (ENSSSUG00005008653.1)". It matches the Rfam family "U2 spliceosomal RNA". Rfam says of the family: U2 is a small nuclear RNA (snRNA) component of the spliceosome (involved in pre-mRNA splicing). Complementary binding between U2 snRNA (in an area lying towards the 5' end but 3' to hairpin I) and the branchpoint sequence (BPS) of the intron results the bulging out of an unpaired adenosine, on the BPS, which initiates a nucleophilic attack at the intronic 5' splice site, thus starting the first of two transesterification reactions that mediate splicing. The record is from Rfam by way of RNAcentral. Lineage: Eukaryota; Metazoa; Chordata; Mammalia; Carnivora; Herpestidae.